AGCGGCGGACGGGUGAGUAACGCGUAGGAAACUGCCGAGUAGUGGGGGAUAGCCCAGAGAAAUUUGGAUUAAUACCGCAUACGCCCUACGGGGGAAAGGAGGGGAUCUUCGGACCUUUCGCUAUUCGAUGUGCCUGCGUGAGAUUAGCUUGUUGGUGUGGUAAAGGCUCACCAAGGCGACGAUCUCUAGCUGGUUUGAGAGGAUGAUCAGCCACACUGGGACUGAGACACGGCCCAGACUCCUACGGGAGGCAGCAGUGGGGAAUAUUGCACAAUGGGGGAAACCCUGAUGCAGCCAUGCCGCGUGUGUGAAGAAGGCCUUCGGGUUGUAAAGCACUUUCAGCAGUGAGGAAAGGUUAUAAGUUAAUACCUUAUAGCUGUGACGUUAACUGCAGAAGAAGGACCGGCUAACUCCGUGCCAGCAGCCGCGGUAAUACGGAGGGUCCGAGCGUUAACCGGAAUUACUGGGCGUAAAGCGCGCGUAGGCGGCUAGGUCAGUCAGAUGUGAAAGCCCCGGGCUUAACCUGGGAAUUGCAUCUGAUACUGCUUGG
RNAcentral lists this ribosomal RNA (550 nucleotides) under uncultured bacterium. Its description in RNAcentral is "bacterial SSU rRNA". It matches the Rfam family "Bacterial small subunit ribosomal RNA", at positions 94 to 640 of the family's 1533-position model. The record is from RNAcentral.